Molecule: ribosomal RNA, 1165 nt
Filed under: Thaxterogaster purpurascens
Lineage: Eukaryota; Fungi; Basidiomycota; Agaricomycetes; Agaricales; Cortinariaceae
Description: eukaryotic LSU rRNA
Rfam family: Eukaryotic small subunit ribosomal RNA (bases 1-277)
Source: RNAcentral
AAACUCUGUCGUGCUGGGGAUAGAGCAUUGCAAUUAUUGCUCUUCAACGAGGAAUACCUAGUAAGCGUGAGUCAUCAGCUCGCGUUGAUUACGUCCCUGCCCUUUGUACACACCGCCCGUCGCUACUACCGAUUGAAUGGCUUAGUGAGGUCUCCGGAUUGGCUUUCGCGCGCCGGCAACGGCAUGCUAUUGCUGAAAAGUUGAUCAAACUUGGUCAUUUAGAGGAAGUAAAAGUCGUAACAAGGUUUCCGUAGGUGAACCUGCGGAAGGAUCAUUAUUGAAAUAAACCUGAUGGGUUGCUGCUGGCUCUCUAGGGAGCAUGUGCACACUUGUCAUCUUUAUAUCUCCACCUGUGCACCUUUUGUAGACCUGGAUAUCUCUCUGAGUGCUUUAGCACUUCAGGUUUGAGGAUUGACUUUAUUGUUCUCUCUUUAUAUUUCUAGGUCUAUGUUUUUCAUAUACCCUAUUGUAUGUUAUAGAAUGUAGUCAAUAGGCCUUUGUGCCUAUAUACCUAUACAACUUUCAGCAACGGAUCUCUUGGCUCUCGCAUCGAUGAAGAACGCAGCGAAAUGCGUUAAGUAAUGUGAAUUGCAGAAUUCAGUGAAUCAUCGAAUCUUUGAACGCACCUUGCGCUCCUUGGUAUUCCGAGGAGCAUGCCUGUUUGAGUGUCAUUAAUAUAUCAACCUCUUCAACUUUUGUUGAUUGUUGGAUGUGGGGGGUAUUCUUUUUUGCUGGUCUCUCUCUGAGUUCAGCUCCCCUGAAAUACAUUAGCGGAACAAUUUGUUCAUUGGCAUGAUAAUUAUCUAUGCUAUUGACAUGAAGCAGUUCAGCUUAUAACAGUCUAUUGACUUGGACAAAUUUAUUAUUAAUGUGACCUCAAAUCAGGUAGGACUACCCGCUGAACUUAAGCAUAUCAAUAAGCGGAGGAAAAGAAACUAACAAGGAUUCCCCUAGUAACUGCGAGUGAAGCGGGAAAAGCUCAAAUUUAAAAUCUGGCAGUCUCUGGCUGUCCGAGUUGUAAUCUAGAGAAGUGUUAUCCGCGCUGGACCGUGUACAAGUCUCCUGGAAUGGAGCGUCAUAGAGGGUGAGAAUCCCGUCUUUGACACGGACUGCCAGGGCUUUGUGAUGCGCUCUCAAAGAGUCGAGUUGUUUGGGAAUGCAGCUC